RNAcentral lists this ribosomal RNA (439 nucleotides) under uncultured bacterium. RNAcentral describes it as "partial 16S ribosomal RNA". It matches the Rfam family "Bacterial small subunit ribosomal RNA", at positions 338 to 794 of the family's 1533-position model. The record is from RNAcentral.
CCUACGAGUGGCUGCAGUGGGGGAUAUUGCACAAUGGGGGAAACCCUGAUGCAGCGACGCCGCGUGUGGGAAGACGGUCCUCUGGAUUGUAAACCACUGUCCCCAGGGACGAAGAUGACGGUACCUGGGGAGGAAGCUCCGGCUAACUACGUGCCAGCAGCCGCGGUAAUACGUAGGGAGCGAGCGUUGUCCGGAAUUACUGGGUGUAAAGGGAGCGUAGGCGGGGAUGCAAGUUGGGUGUCAAAACUACCGGCUCAACUGGUAGUCGCACUCAAAACUGCAGCUCUGGAGUGAAGUAGAGGCAGGCGGAAUUCCUGGUGUAGCGGUGAAAUGCGUAGAUAUGAGGAGGAACACCAGUGGCGAAGGCGGCCGGCUGGGCUUUUACUGACGCUGAGGCUCGAAAGUGUGGGGAGCAAACAGGAUUAGAUACCCCAGUAGU